This 381-nucleotide ribosomal RNA is filed under the name uncultured Glomeromycotina. Its description in RNAcentral is "LSU rRNA". The record is from RNAcentral. Lineage: Eukaryota; Fungi; Glomeromycota.
UUGAAAGGGAAACGAUUGAAGUCAGUCGUACCGACGAAGGAUCAACUUUUGGAAUGCGAAUUGGGGUAUUCGAGGAGUUUAAAAGCCCUCGUGUGCUCAUGUAUUCGUGCUUCUUGGGUGCACUUCUUCGUAUUGGUAGGUUAACAUCAAUUUUUGNACGUUACAAAAUGACUGGGGGAAUGUAGCUUCGAUUUUUCGAAGUGUUAUAGCCCUUGGUAGAUGUGACGACCGGGAUUGAGGAUUGCAACGAAAUGCUUUCGGGCUAUCCGUCUGACCUCUGGUGGUUGCUUUUGGGGUCGAAAGCGUGCUUACGAACUUUUAAAGUUGNCUAUCAAAAAGGCUAAGAAACGUGAUUAAAAUUUCGUUAAGGAUGUUGACGUA